RNAcentral lists this ribosomal RNA (358 nucleotides) under uncultured Peptococcaceae bacterium. RNAcentral describes it as "bacterial SSU rRNA". It matches the Rfam family "Bacterial small subunit ribosomal RNA", at positions 1025 to 1382 of the family's 1533-position model. Lineage: Bacteria; Bacillati; Bacillota; Clostridia; Eubacteriales; Peptococcaceae. The record is from RNAcentral.
ACAGGGAGGACAGGUGGUGCAUGGUUGUCGUCAGCUCGUGUCGUGAGAUGUUGGUUAAGUCCCGCAACGAGCGCAACCCUUAUUCUUAGUUGCCAGCAUGUAAUGGUGGGGCACUCUAGGGAGACUGCCGGUGACAAACCGGAGGAAGGUGGGGAUGACGUCAAAUCAUCAUGCCCUUUAUGACCUGGGCUACACACGUGCUACAAUGGCCUGUACAAAGGGUAGCGAAGCCGCGAGGUGGAGCCAAUCCCAAAAAGCAGGUCUCAGUUCGGAUUGCAGGCUGCAACUCGCCUGCAUGAAGUCGGAAUCGCUAGUAAUCGCGGAUCAGCACGCCGCGGUGAAUACGUUCCCGGGCCUU